UACGGGGGGGGCAAGCGUUGUUCGGAAUUACUGGGCGUAAAGGGCUCGUAGGCGGCCAACUAAGUCAGACGUGAAAUCCCCAGGCUCAACCUGGGAACUGCGUCUGAUACUGGAUGGCUUGAAUCCGGGAGAGGGAUGCAGAAUUCCAGGUGUAGCGGUGAAAUGCGUAGAUAUCUGGAGGAAUACCGGUGGCGAAGGCGGCAUCCUGGACCGAGAUUGACACUGAUGAGCGAAAGCUAGGGGAGCAAACGGG
RNAcentral lists this ribosomal RNA (253 nucleotides) under uncultured bacterium. Its description in RNAcentral is "partial 16S ribosomal RNA". It matches the Rfam family "Bacterial small subunit ribosomal RNA", at positions 524 to 776 of the family's 1533-position model. The record is from RNAcentral.